RNAcentral lists this ribosomal RNA (468 nucleotides) under uncultured bacterium. RNAcentral describes it as "partial 16S ribosomal RNA". It matches the Rfam family "Bacterial small subunit ribosomal RNA", at positions 28 to 507 of the family's 1533-position model. The record is from RNAcentral.
GACGAACGCUGGCGGCGUGCUUAACACAUGCAAGUCGAGCGGAAAGGCCCUGCUUUUGUGGGGUGCUCGAUUGGCGAACGGGUGAGUAACACGUGUGUAACCUGCCCUUGUCUUUGGGAUAACUUCAGGAAACUCGGGCUCAUACCCGAUAGGAUCUCCUGCUGCAUGGUGGGGGUUGGUAAGUUUCGGCGGUUGGGGAUGGACUCGCGGCUUCUCAGCUUGUUGGUGGGGUAGUGGCUUACGAAGGCUUUGACGGGUAGCCGGCCUGAGAGGGUGGCCGGCGACAAGGGGACUGCGGUAGGGCCCAGAAGGCUACGGGAGGCAGCAGGGGGGAAUAUUGCAGAACGGGCGGAAGCCUGAUGCAGCAGCGCCGCGUGCGGGAUGACGGCCUACGGGUGGUAAACCGCUUUCGCCUGUGACGAAGCGGGAGUGACGGUAAUGGGUAAAGAAGCACCGGCUAACUACGUG